AUGGGUUUCAUAAUGGAAUUCGCUGAGAAUUUGGUUUUGAAAUUGAUGGAAGAUCCAAAGGAAAGGGAUCGUAGAUUCAGGGAACACGUCUAUAAGGUGAAAGACCGAUGCGCAAAGACCAAGGAGAUGUGGAGUUACCCUAUGCGGCCAUAUGGGUUUUGGACAUUCGAACGCCACAAUUCUCAGCUUGCUUGGGAUGCUCAGAUUAGUCAAGUUGCUGGUCGAAGAGACCCUUAUGAUGAUAUCCUUCGUCACUACCCCGCCUCUUCUAAAUAA
Non-coding RNA from Vicia faba (fava bean), 276 nucleotides. The record is from the annotation of a GenBank genome assembly. Lineage: Eukaryota; Viridiplantae; Streptophyta; Magnoliopsida; Fabales; Fabaceae.